AUACGUAGGGGGCGAGCGUUGUCCGGAAUGAUUGGGCGUAAAGGACGCGUAGGAGGCUUUGCACGCCAGUAGUGGAAGUCCAUUUUUCAAGGAUGGAAGUGCUACAGACACUGCGGAGCUUGAGAGCCGGAGAGGUUAUCGGAAUUGCCGGAGUAGCGGGGAAAUGCGUCGAGAUCGGGAGGAAACACAGUGGCGAAGGCGGGUAACUGGACUGCAACUGACGCUGAGGCGCGAAAGUGUGGAGAGCAAACAGGAUUAGAUACCCUGGUAGUCCACACUGUAAACGAUGAAUGCUAGGUGUAGGAGGUAUCGACCCCUUCUGUGCCGCAGUAAACACAGUAAGCAUUCCGCCUGGGGAGUACGGUCGCAAGAUUAAAACUCAAAUGAAUUGGCGGGG
RNAcentral lists this ribosomal RNA (397 nucleotides) under uncultured bacterium. Its description in RNAcentral is "partial 16S ribosomal RNA". It matches the Rfam family "Bacterial small subunit ribosomal RNA", at positions 523 to 918 of the family's 1533-position model. The record is from RNAcentral.